CUACUGCCGAAGAGUCCCGUACAAGGACGAAACGGCCGUCCAGUGC
Molecule: non-coding RNA, 46 nt
Organism: Schistosoma haematobium
Lineage: Eukaryota; Metazoa; Platyhelminthes; Trematoda; Strigeidida; Schistosomatidae
Source: Rfam